Molecule: ribosomal RNA, 466 nt
Filed under: uncultured bacterium
Lineage: Bacteria
Description: partial 16S ribosomal RNA
Rfam family: Bacterial small subunit ribosomal RNA
Source: RNAcentral
AACGAACGCUGGCGGUAUGCUUAACACAUGCAAGUCGAACGAACAGAAUUGGGGCUUGCUCCAAUUUUAGUGAGUGGCAAACGGGUGAGUAACACGUGGGAAUCUACCUAUCAGUACGGAAUAACAUUUGGAAACAGAUGCUAAUACCGUAUAUUCUCCAAGGAGGAAAGAUUUAUCGCUGAUAGAUGAGCCCGCGUAAGAUUAGGUAGUUGGUAGGUUAAUGGCCUACCAAGCCGACGAUCUUUAGCUGGUCUGAGAGGAUGAUCAGCCACACUGGGACUGAGACACGGCCCAGACUCCUACGGGAGGCAGCAGUGGGGAAUAUUGGACAAUGGGCGAAAGCCUGAUCCAGCAAUACCGCGUGAAUGAUGAAGGCCUUAGGGUUGUAAAGUUCUUUUAGUUGGAAAGAUAAUGACGGUACCAACAGAAAAAGCCCCGGCUAACUCCGUGCCAGCAGCCGCAGUAA